Molecule: non-coding RNA, 754 nt
Filed under: Cryptorhynchinae sp. KM-2015
Lineage: Eukaryota; Metazoa; Arthropoda; Insecta; Coleoptera; Curculionidae
Source: RNAcentral
AAACUAGGUUUUUUAUAUCAUGUUCAUUUUAAAUGUAAAUAUUAUUUUGAAUUAUAAAUUUAUUUAAAUAAGAUAAAAUUAAAAAUUGCAGUGAAUAGAUUUAUUAAUUUAAUAGUUUAAGAUUUAGUGAAAUAGGAAAGUAUAAACAAAUUUUGUGCCAGCAGUAGCGGUUAUACAGGUUAUACAAUAAAAAAAAUAUUGAAUAUUAGUUAAUAAAUAUUAAUAUAAUUAAAAAUUAAGAUUUUUAAGGUGAAAUUUCAAAUCUUAAAAAUAUUAAAAAUAUGAGGCUAAGAAAUUUUAGAUAAAACUAGGAUUAGAUACCCUAUUAUAAAAGAGUAGAUUUUAUUUCUUGUUAUUAUAAGAUUAAUUUCUUCAAAAUAAAAAAAAUUGGCGGUGUUUUAUUCUAUUCAGAGGAAUCUGUUCUAUAAAUGAUAACCCACGUUUAAUUUGUCUUUUUUUUUGAUUUACAUAUCGCCGUGGUAUGAGUAUCUUUUUAAGGUAUGUUCAAGAUUUAAAUAUAAUGCAUUUCAGGUCAAGAUGUAGUUUAUGAAAAAGUAGAAAUGGAUUACAGUUACGGAAAGUAAUAAUGGAUAAAAGUUUUAAUUAAAUUUUUAGAAAUUGGAUUUGAGUGUAAUUUUUUAAUUAUUUGAGAAAUGAUUUUGCUCUAAAAUAUGCACAUAUUGCCCGUCGCUUUCAUAUAAAUUGAAAUAAGUCGUAACAAAGUAGAUGUACUGGAAAGUGUAUCUAGAAACAG